GACGAACGCUGGCGGCAGGCUUAACACAUGCAAGUCGAGCGAGACCUUCGGGUCUAGCGGCGGACGGGUGAGUAACGCGUGGGAACGUGCCCUUCUCUACGGAAUAGCCCCGGGAAACUGGGAGUAAUACCGUAUACGCCCUUUGGGGGAAAGAUUUAUCGGAGAAGGAUCGGCCCGCGUUGGAUUAGGUAGUUGGUGGGGUAAUGGCCCACCAAGCCGACGAUCCAUAGCUGGUUUGAGAGGAUGAUCAGCCACACUGGGACUGAGACACGGCCCAGACUCCUACGGGAGGCAGCAGUGGGGAAUCUUAGACAAUGGGGGCAACCCUGAUCUAGCCAUGCCGCGUGAGUGAUGAAGGCCUUAGGGUUGUAAAGCUCUUUCAGCUGGGAAGAUAAUGACGGUACCAGCAGAAGAAGCCCCGGCUAACUCCGUG
This 433-nucleotide ribosomal RNA is filed under the name uncultured bacterium. RNAcentral describes it as "partial 16S ribosomal RNA". It matches the Rfam family "Bacterial small subunit ribosomal RNA", at positions 28 to 507 of the family's 1533-position model. The record is from RNAcentral.